UUAAGUUCAGUUGGUUAGAGACAGGGAUUGAUAAUCCCAGUGUCCCUGGUUCGAGCCCAGGUGGGACCA
RNAcentral lists this transfer RNA (69 nucleotides) under Chryseobacterium populi. RNAcentral's name for it is "Chryseobacterium sp. CF314 tRNA-Ile". Lineage: Bacteria; Pseudomonadati; Bacteroidota; Flavobacteriia; Flavobacteriales; Weeksellaceae. The record is from RNAcentral.